Phascolarctos cinereus (koala) is the source of this 565-nucleotide non-coding RNA. NCBI's taxonomy places the organism in Eukaryota, Metazoa, Chordata, Mammalia, Diprotodontia, Phascolarctidae. The record is from RefSeq and is a predicted model, not a curated record.
UCCGAGAGCUCCAGGUUAACCCACUUCCACCCUCGGAGAGAUGGACAUGACACUCUCCUUGGCCACUAAAGCUACAGAGGACUUAUCCCCUACCCCCUUUCCAGAUGUGGAUUCCUCUUCUGCUGCUUAUUGUGAGGUCCAAACAUCAGGCUUCCAGAGCAACCUCCAACCCUAUCUCUGGCUAUACACACUCGAAUUGUAACUGAAGUACUCCUUUUGAAGGCAAAAAUAAUUAUCUGUCUCAAAACAGUUCCCUAAUAUGAAGAAUGUAAAAGUGUACCUUCCAAAGUAUUAACUGGAAGCUUUUAACAAGAUGCAGCUGAGCGUGUCAAUAUCUUAUAUCUUUUUACUGCUGUAUGGGGUGUACAUCAACUUGAAACUCAUCUCUACUUCAGCUGAACACUGGCAUCUCUUAGAAACAGUGCUCCCAGCGGCAACUUUACUUGCCUCCCUACAACUGGCCAGUGGUACCCUCAGAAAGAUUUCAGGGUAACCUCCCACUGGAAGCAAGGAGGAGUUACACUUGACCUUCCCCACUGCCUAAUGGAAUUAAUGAAAUGCAAGA